CCAGAGUCUGACAGUUUCCUCCUUCACUUGCCUUUUCUCAGCAUCAUGGAGCACAGCUCGAAUGGCUCGGAGAUUGCUGGUCAGCUUCUUCGCUUCCUUUCCGACACCCGUUACUAGCCUCACUUGUUCCUUCGCCUCUUCAACAGCCAUUGAAGUCAGCUGCUCCAAGAUAGGGGAAAGGAUCGCAUCAACCAUGGUGAAAAAGAAAAAAGAGAGAGAGAAGAAAUUGAUGGUGAAUUGUUGCAAAUGUAAGUAGCUAAUGCUGAAAGAAAUGAAGGAGCUGAUAAUGUGGUGAAAAUGUUGCCGUAUUCUUUCAAUUCUUAUAGUACUGCAAGCAAAAUUCUAAUUUAGAAAUAUUUCAUUUCAGCCCCUUGUGAAAGAAGCUACGGUUAUUAUUAUUACUUUUUUUUUUUUAAUAACAGCAAAGAGUGAAAAUGACGUACAGUUGUGGACAGGAAAUAAUAUAUAUGAAACUGACAAAUUUUUCACGCGGCGAUUCACGCGGUAUAUGAAACAGACAAAGUUUUCUAUGAUCUCUUUUUAAAGAAUUGAACAAGUUGUUAGAUAAUAUUUUUGAUCGUGUCGUCAUAUUGAGAUUUGGAAGCAUUUGCUUUACAAUCACCCAUGAACUUUAUAUUUUUUAGAUUGUUUGAUCUGAAUUAUAAGUGUUUUAUUAGCUUAGAAAUACCUUGACCAUCUCUUUCUUAUUUUCUUCUUCUUCUUUUUUUUUUUUUUUUUAAUUUGACUCGUUUGCAUAAUUAGUUGAAAGGAAAGAAUGAACAUACUAAUAAACUAGGAAAACGCUGCCACAUAAUAUUCUAAGAUUCAUAUGGAACCACUUUAUUUAGAUUUUUUCAUUUUAGCAGAUGUCUGAUUGUGGGAGUUUAGAGUUUAAUCUCUAACUUUGCUUGUGAAGUGUGAAAAAUCAAAUAAUCUUUUCAACUCGUUUUUCAACAAAACUAGAUCACAAUUCAUCAUCAGUUAUUUCUCAUUAUGUAUAAAAUGAUCAAUCUGGAGCUGGAUAUUCACAUAUUUUUCUAUUUCUAAUCAUCUCAAAAUAUAUAAUAUGAACUUUUAAAAAAAAAUAAUCAAAUUGUAAUAAAGUGACAUAAAUAUUAAAAAAUAAAAGAAAAAGUCAAAAAUGUAAUGUGGAAAAAAGACAAAACCUUUUUGUUUGUUCUAUUCAUGGCAUCAUCUAAAUAUGAGAAAUGAUGGGUUGAUUGUCAUUGUGAACAACCAUAUAAUUGCAAGACGUGAAUACCAUCAACGUUAUAAUAAUUCAUGGACCCAUGCAUCCUCUGUUUUUCUAAUUAUUCCGUGUAGAAGGCUAAAGUUUAACGUGUGAUUCUCAAAUUCAUUGUCAAGUGAUUUGAACGUUUUAACGGACAGCGCUUACUUUUCUUUUUGAAGGAGCACAAUAACAACUUGAAGAUUCCUGGAAGUUGCCUGCAGUUCAAAUAUUUUCUUCAGACGAAAACCGUCAAUAAUUUCCAAACUUAGAAGAUAUUUAUUUAUUUUUUCCCAUAACCCACCAAAAACUUUUUCAUUUAGUGUAACUUUGUAAUUUUCUUAGAUGAUACUUAAAACUGCUAAUACCUUCUAAUUAUUGUUUUAAAAAUCUAAAUAAUUGCAUGCCCAAUUAACGGAUCAGUAGUGUCAGUUCGACAUAUUUAUUUUUUUAAAAAAAAGAAAUACACAGUUGUUUGAUGACUCUGGAAUUGAACAUCAGGAAAUAAAGAGAAAAAAUAACACACUUUAUGACGAUCAUUGCAGAUGACAUAACAGAUGUAAGUAUUUAUUGCCAAUUAAUUGGCAUUCUUAUUAUCAAGUAAUUGUUUUAGACUCGAAUUCAAAAGCUCUGCUCUGCUCUGCCCUUCGGUAAUCCGCCUGUUCAAAAAAUAAUAUUGUUUUAAAAAUCUCAGUAACAACAUGCCCAAUCGAUCACACAACGACUUUGUUGAAAUUGAAACAUUAUUGGGAAAUUAAUGAAGAGUAGAGAGCAAUUAGAGAGCUUAAUUAAGCUAAACAAUUUGAUUAUUAACUGUCUAGUCUCUCUUGCACCAUUCCAGUUAUCCUCUGAUCGAUCACACAAUCUAAUGCAUAAUCUAUUCUUUAGCGUGCGGCUUUAAACACAGCUGUUAUAAACUUGGUCAGCUUAACAAAUAUAACGUAACAUAUGAUAUUAUUAAAAUAUUCAAUUAUUCUCUUGGAAAGAAGUAAAUUCACUCAAUUUGAAAAAAGGUUGAUAAAGAUAAAAAUAUUUUAUAUUUUAUUACCUAAUAAUAUUAGAAUCUUAAGAUGCAAUUGGCAUUGUUUUUGUUUUGGUGUUCUUUGUUUUUUUAACGAAUCUUAAUAAAUAUUUUAUUAGAAUCUUAAUAAAUAUUUUAUAUUUAUAACAGUAGUAUUAAAAAUAGCCCAAUCUCGCAAACCAUCAAUUAAAUUUAAGAUAAGUAGUGUUUUAUUAUUCAUUGAGUUAUAAUCUCUAGUAGUUAAGAUUUUUUUGUACGUCAUUAACAUACCAAUAAUGAUAUUCAUCAUUAAAUCUUAUUAUUUUUUUGCAUUUUUUAGGGUGAAAUUGUAAUUUUCAUUUUGGGGGUAAAAAUGUCAUUUUAUUAAGUUUCCGUUAGUUUUCUUAACGGAUUCCAAACGGAAGUGGAAAAGUGAAACAAAAUGUAACUUUAGGUGGAUUCCAGCUAAAAAAAGAAAGAAUUGUGUAUUUUUGAAAAAGUUGGAAAAAAUGGGUGGACGGUGGAUAUUUUCCCUUCAAUUAAUUAUAGAUGCAUGAGACUAAGGGUCUAUUUUAUAGUAAGAUGUGGCUUUUUAAUUAUAACUGUUGUAUAAUAACAACUGUAACUACUAAAAAAAAAAUGAAUUAUGGGAAUCGGGUAAACUUUCAUUUGUAAGUAUUAUGAGUAAUUAAUAAUUUGUAGUUUCGAAAGUAGAAGUACACAUUUUUUGACAUGCCUUGAAAAUCUGUAUGUAACCUUAUAUCUAAAUAACUGAUCAAGUAUAUAUCAAGUAAUUCAAAAAUGGGCUGGGACUGAUGGUAAUUGUAGACGUUUUGAGGAUGAGUGAUACUAUGGGCACUACUCUAGAAACUUUAAAACUCCUUUUCUUUAUUUAUUCAAUCGAGCUCCAACCACUUCCUUCGGCGAUCGAGCUCCAGCCACAGCCAUUCGCAAAUUGCAAUCCACAAUCCGCGCCUGAAAUUGCCAUUCACAAUCCACAACUCACAGCCAUGACUUCACAUAGAGAACAACUCCCACAGCCAUCACGCGACAGCGAGAUCGAGCUCUUUUAACAUUCGAAGAGCAGAUCUGGUUGCGAAAGUUGAUUUUUAAUUUGCUUGCGAGCUGAGAUAUUUCGAAUUUUCUCUUUUAUUUAUUUUUUAUUUUUGUAAGUUACUAAGCCAAAAGCUUUGCAUAAGCUUCUGCUUCGGUUUUGCUAGUAUGAGAAGUAAAUUAAGGGACUUUUACUUGUUUAUUUAUAUUUUUGGUAGUUGCUGCAAGUGAUUUUUCUUUUUGAAUUGUUUUCUUUUGACACUUGUGUUGAACAACGAAGUGUAAUUUCGUUAAGAAGAGGAUGACAAAAUUUGAAGAUUGUGAAGCUGCAAAUGUUUUUUUUCCCUUUUCAUAAAUUGCUCAUGGUGCAGUCUCCUUUUGCUUGUUGAAGAAACAGUUAAGGGGGUAUGUAGUUGGGAAGAAAGAGGAAAUGAAAAUGAAAAGAGAAAGCAGAAGUUAAGUCCUCAGGUGGCAUUUUUUCAAUUAAAAAAAUUAAUGACAUCGUUUUCUAAAGCUUCGGGGUUUGACCCGGGGUAAAUAGCCGAACUCUUUUCUUUUUGAUGGAGCACAAUAACAACUUAAAGAUUCCUGGAAGUUGCCUGCAGUUCAAAUAUUUUUCAUUUGAACAAAAACCGUCAAUAAUUUUCAAACUUAGAAGAUAUUUAUUUAUUUUUCCCAUAACCCACCAAAAACUUUUUCAUUUAGUGUAACUUUGUAUUUUCUUAGAUGAUACUUAAAACUGCUAAUAUCUUCUAAUUAUUGUUUUAAAAAUCCCAAUAAUUGCAUGCCCAAUUAACGGAUCAGUAGUCUCAGUUCGAUAUAUUUAUUAAAAAAAAUAAGAAAUACAGAGUUGUUUGAUGACUCUGGAAAUAAAGAGAAAAAAUAACACACUUUAUGACUAUCAUUGCGAAUGACAUAACAGAUGCCAGUAUUUAUUACCAAUUAAUUGACAUUCUUAUCAAGUAAUUGUUUUAGACUUUAAUUCAAAAGCUAAGCUCUGCUCUGCUCUGCCCUUCGGUAAUUCCCCUGUUCAAAAAAUAAUAUUGUUUUAAAAAUCUCAAUAACAACAUGCCCAACAUAUUUUUUUUUAAAAAAAGGAUCGAGCAACACCGUAGCUUUUGUCAUAACGACUUUGUUGUAACUGAAACAAUAUUGGGAAAUUAAUGAAGAGUAGAGAGCAAUGAGAAAGCUUAAUUAAGCCAAACAAUUUUGAUUAUUAACUCUCUAGUCUCUCUUGCACCAUUCCAGUAAUCCUCUGAUCGAUAACACAAUCUAAUGCAUAAUCUAUUCAUUUAAUUAAUCAAUUUGAAUAUAUAUAUAUAUAUAUAUAUAUUUGUUAGAGUGACGCUAUUGGCACCCCUCUAUAUCAAUUAAAGAAAUAUAUUUUAAAGGGAGCUGGUAAGUAAUUUACAACCCUUCAAACUUACGUGAACAGUAAUAGUAAUUAUAAUAAGUGGUGGGAUCUAGAUCUACUGCAUGAAUUUUAAAGGAACUAUAAAUUAUUUAACAAAAUCUUAUUUUAAAACGAUUGUGCGGGACACAGCACAUGCCAACCCGGGCUUUAUCUCUUUUCACUAAUCAUAUAUGUAGUGGCAGACAUCGGUGGCCAAUUAAGGGAUGAACACAACCACUCCACCAAGUAAAUCUUGACGCGUGUGCUUUUAUUUCCAAUUAUUCUACUGUCUUUUUCUAAUUACUUUUAUCGCAGAAGUAAUUAAUUCUGAAGGAAAUGAAGGAGCUAAUAAUGUCGUGAAAGUGCUGCCACAUUCUUCCAAUUCUUAUGCUGCAAGCAAAGCUCCAAUUUACAAAUAUUUCAUUUCAAAAGAAGUUAUUGUUAUUAUUAUCUUUCUUUAUUCUUUUUAAUUUUUUUGACCAGUGUGGACUGGAAAAUAUUGUCAGGUCCUACAUCCGCGAUUCACGCAGUAUAUGACCUGAUAAAUAAUACACGGGUCUUAUUAUGUUACAGUUUUAUGUGUGUAAUAGCCCAUGACCUGAUAAAUAAUUUAUUAAGAGAAGUAAAAAUUUAAUGAUUGCAUAAAUAAUUCGGUAACAGAAUUCUUUUCACCCGUUAUUAAUCGCUUGCAGAUGACUUACUGAAAUUGUAAAUAUGUUGAACAGUGUUUGACUGUGAAGUGUGAAAAAUUAAAUAAUCUUUACUAUUAGUUUUGCAAUAAUAAUAAACAACAAAUCAUUGUUAAUUAUUUCUUAUUUAUUAUGUAUAAAUUGAUCUAUCCAGAGCUGGAUAUUUACAUAUUCUUCUAUUUUUGAUCAUUUUGAAAUUUAAUAGAAUUUUUUUUUAAAAAAAAUCAAUUUGUAAUAAAGUGUCAUAGAUAUUAAAAAAUGAAUGUUAAGGUCAUUAUUUAUAGAGUUGGCAUUUUAUGACAAGUCUAGUUAAAUUGGAAGUUUAUUUAUUGCAUAUCUUGUAAUAGAGAUUAAUUUAUUAAUUCCCUAAUUUAGUCAGAUUCUAAUUUAUUAGGAAUAUUUGUUUCCUAAUUUAAUUAGAUGUCUAUUUUAGCAAGUCAAUUAAUGGUGGGAUUCUAUAAUUGGCGCAUGAGAUUUAUUUAGAGCAAAAAGUUGGUUCAAAUAGGAAGUCUUAAGUUUGGUAAAUCCAUAGGUUGUAACAUCUCAACUUAGUGAAUUGUUUUUCAUCUGAGUGUGGCCUCGUGGAUGUAGGAUUGAUUAAUCUGAACCACGUAAAAAUCUCCGUAUCAUUUAUUUUCUACAUUUUAUUGUGUUUUUUGAAAAAUUAAUAUUUUUUAUGCGGAUGAACACUAACCGUAAACAGUAAAUGUGAACAGCAACCGUGAAUAAUUGCUGUGAACAGUAUCCAUAAACAAUACUUUUGAAAAAAUUAAUCUAUUUUUGAUACAUCUAAAUUCCUUUCAAUGAAAAUAGAAAGUCAAAAUUGUAAUGCUCAAAAAAGACAUUAAUUGUUGUAACUUAAAAGAUAUAUUCAUAUAAUUUUUCAGUUGUAUAAUAAAUUUUUUUUAUAUUUUUAAUAAUUUUAUUAAAAUUAUUAUUUAAAAUUUAUAUUCAUUAUAUUAUUAAGUUUUAUUUUAUAAUUACAGGUUAUGGGAUGUAAAGGAGUUUGGGAGCUGUAGCCUUUAGUUGGCUUAGGGAGAUGUUAAAGUUUUGAGAAAUGCUUAGAAAUUUAUUUUAUAUAACACGUUCUCAAUUUUAUUACUAUAAACUUACGCUGUAUUGUCUAGUCUUAGUAAGUAACGACUCAAUUGGAUGUGGGAGGAUCCCUUCCGCUUUGACCAAAAAAACUGUUUCGAGGACAGUUUUCUAACUCAACUCAAUUGCGGAACAAACAAAGAAACGCUAAGAACAUUAAUUAAAGUUAACAUACAGAGCAAACAAGUCAAGAGCACACACAAGAGGAGACAGACACUUGGCCAAGAAAAUAAUUGACCAGGGAAUUUACAAGGAAACUCUCUUUUCCAGAAGUUACAAGAGCCCUGACACUAUUCCUCUCGAGGUCUAGUUCAAGUCGCCCAAGCCUCUCAAGCUCCCUUAAGAACUCUGCUUUCUUGCUGUUCAAGAAAGCGCCUGAUUGGAAUCACAUGCUCCACGUGACAUCUGGCAUAACUAAAUCUGCUGCCGUACCCAGCCAAUUUAUGGUGCCACUUAUGAUACCCUGUCUCGUCAGCUUCCGUACCCUGCGUCAUCAUAGGACCUUACAUCUUGGAACCUCCAUGAAAGCUGAAUCUCUAACAGCCCAUCAUAAAGAUAUUAGUUCUAAAAUAGGGAAAUUACCAAAAAUACCUGCGCAUUUUGAAAUUUGUCAAAAAAUGAAGAGUAGAAAGCAAUGGGAAAACGUAAUUAAACAACCAAUUUGAUUCCUCGGAUCGCUUUCAUCUCAGGACUCUUUGUCUUCCCGUGCGUCUUCGAUUCCACAGGACAAUCUUGGAUUGAAUUUAUACAUCAGAAGAAAAUAUCAGUAUGCCCAAAAUAAAAAGUUGCUUCCAGUGCAGAAAUAAGAGAAAUUGACACACCUUUUUCCACCACAGAAGAUGGUGUCAUAUAGAAGUAUUCUGUCGCAGACUUAACAUACCUAUCAAGUAAUUAAUAAUUCCUACUUUAAAAAGUAGAGCAAUUGGAUAUCUAAUCCGAAAAUUCAAGAUAUAAUAACUCUUGAAAAUUAUAUAUUCAUAUACAUGUUAGUAGCGUGAUGCUACCAAUAUUCGCACCUUUAGCAUUCAAACACUUGAUCAUUGAAAGAAUUUAAGAAAAAUGUUGAUUGGUUACUGACAUUAACAUAACAUAAAAUUUGAUCCACAAUUUACUCAAUUUCUGAGUUGGCUUACCAAAAGUAUUGUAGCAGAAAUAACCAAAUCAACCCAGGUCCUUAUAUGGAGCCCCUGCGCGUCAAUUAAAGUAAAAGCUCGAUCCUCUGUUAUCCGAAAUGGUCAAACAAAUAUUAAACCAAAAUGUUGAAGUCUCUUUCUUUUGCAAUUCUAGCUCUAACUGAUGAGAUUGAUGGAAAAGAAUAACCAACAUUAAGAUUAAUUUUUAUUUCAAUUACUAGGAAAUAGAGAAUUAAAUGGAAUUCUCUCAGUAAAGCUCACCAAUAUCUGUCUCCGUCAUCACAUAGAUAUAUCAGACUAGCUAUCUAAUCCUUUUAUUUUAUUUUUUUCCUUUUUCAUUCAACAGCUUCAGCAUAUAACAAGAAAGCUUGGGCUCCUACAAUGCUUAGGCCUCUUCACGAUUAAGUACUCGUACGGUAGCGCAAGUAGCAGGCCUGGCACCUCUCUGGAUCUGCCAGAGAAUAAAUCUUUACACAUGCCCCCUGAAAAUCUGUUACAUAAAUUAUGUCCUAAUAAUCAGCAAUAAUUCAAAGAUGCGGAUAAAAAAGCACUAUAAUGUACAAACAUACACCUCGUUCAUAUUUUUUGUAUCACAUGAGGCAUAAACUCCUCAAGAGUCAAGUCCGACAUUUAAUUCAACCCAUAAACUUGUGCUUGUAGCCCGCAUAAAUGGUUAAACAAAUAUUAUAUUUUCGACUUGAAGAUUGGAUUACAAAUAUAUAAUAGGAAAGUAAAAUGGAGGAGGAGAAAGAAAUUACCUGUAGUAGUUGAGAAAUUACUGCCAAAAAUAGAAUUACCCGUAGGAAUUUUAUUUGGUUAGUAAUUGAGAAAGAAAUUACCUUAGGUGAUGGCUGAAAGGAAUUUAGAUCUAUCAUAAAUAGAUGUAAGCAAUUAAAAACUAAAAAUUAAUUACUUAAUUAAUUUUUUUGGAAAUACUGUUCACUGUUACUGUUUACGGUUCUGUUCACCACAACUGUUUACCGUUACUGUUCAUCCGCAUAAAAAAUAUUAAUUUUCCAAAAACACAAUAAAAUGCCAAAAACACAAUAAAAUGCAGAAAAUAAAUGACACGGAGAUUUUUACGUGGUUCGGAUUAAUCAAUCCUACAUCCACAAGGCCACGCCAAGAUGAAAAGUAAUUCACUAAGUUGAGAUGUUACAACCUAUGAAUUUACCAAACUUAAGACUUUCACUUACAGUUUAUCACCAUACAAUUUACUCAACCUUAGAAUGAAUCUGCUUCUCUUGAAUAAUUGCUACCCCUCUUGAUCCACGAUCUUCAAGGCACUUCGCAAAGUGAUCAAUAGCAAUUAUUUAAUUCUUCAAUGUCUAGUGAUCCAAGAUCCACAUAGACUCUCCACAUAGAUGAAAAAAAGGUAAGAAAACAAAUCAACACAACAUUAUGCGCCAAAUCCGGAUUCUCUAGGGAGGAGGCCAAAUUUUGCUUCUCUGCUUUAUACUUUGUGUUGUGCGAUCCAACUUCAAUUGUGAAAUACCUCUCUUUAUAUAGGCACUAGGGAUUCACCAAAAUAGCAAGUCUUAAAAGAUUUGGAUUCUUUCCAAAUAAGAGUUUCUUUUCUCUUAUAAUUCCCAUGAAUCUGAAUAGGAUUAAAUCUGAUCUUCUUGCCUUACUUGUCUCCUAAGAAAUAUCUAGAGCAUUUAAUGACUUUCUGUUUGAACCAACUUCUUACUCUAAAUAGAUUGUUUGAACUAACUUCUUGCUCUAAAUAAAUCUCAUGCGCCAAUAAUAAAACACCACCAUUAAUUGACUUGCUAAAAUACACAUUUAAUUAAAUUAGGAAACAAAUAUUCCUAAUAAAUUGGAAUCUCACUAAAUUAGAGAAUUAAUAAAUUAAUCCCUAUUACAAGAUAUGCAAUAAAUAAACUUCCAAUUUAAGUAGACUUGUCAUAAAAUGUCAACUCUAUAAAUAAUGGAAUUAACAAUGGCUAUGGUACUUGCGGUACUCGUUUUAAAAAUCCUCAAGGUUCGAAUUUGACAUAUUGGUGAUUGAUUAGGAUGCUGGGAAUGUGGCAUAUCUUGGGGCAGUCCUCUCUUGUUUCCUUUCCAUGAUGUUCUUCUAAAACAGAACAUGAACUAAUAUCCGAAUCCUGUAGUGUUGUUUGUUGUGCGCGGAAUGCGGAAUCAAGCGCACCAAAAAAUCACAGAAAAAUAAAGGACACAAAAUUUAACUCAGAUACUAUCUAUGAAUAAUAUAACACAGUACCUCACUUCAUGCAAGCUUUGAUAUAUUAUUCCUUCUAUCUAUUUAUCCACUGCUAAUUGUUUUAUAAAAAAUUUGGUGCACUGUAGUGAACCCAAUAACUCCUAGCUAGAAGCAACAAUGUCCAAUUAAGCCGCUGAUACAAUCAAUCAAACAAUAAGGAAAGGAUCAACAACACAAAAAGCACACGCAAGGCACAAAGAUUUACAUGAUAUAUCCACAGGUGGUGAUGCUGGUAUCCACUGUACGUGUGAUGAAAACAAGUGUAUAUAUAUAAAGAACACUACCUGUCUCCUCACAAUAACCCCCUAGAACACAAGCGCAAAUAAAAAUGAGCCAAUUCCUGCUCUGCUGUGCCCUCAUGUACGUAACUCCUCUGCUAAGAAAUAUUGCCUUAAAAUAUCGGUAGCAUAUGCAUGCAUGACCAGCAAAUCAAUUAGACAUAUAAAAUUAUCAACCACACAGGAAAUCAGCAAAUCAGUGGUUUCAUGAAUUUGUAAUAUUUGAACAUCAGAAUAUGAAGAGUACAGGGCAAUGGGAAAAAGUAAUUAACCAACCAAAUAAAUUUAAAUCCAAAUAAGAUAAGUAACGUAUGAAAGGAGGGUUGAAGCCCACCUUAGAAACUCCUGUCUAUGGAGGCCAAUAAAUCUCCUGCUAUCUGUUUGCUUAGAUCUUUAUGUAUUUCUAUACACUUUUUACUCUACUCUGUUGUUCAACCUUCUUUGGUUUUAUGUAUCUAUUUUAUGUGUAUUGAGAAGGCUAGUUACUAGGUNNNNNNNNNNNNNNNNNNNNNNNNNNNNNNNNNNNNNNNNNNNNNNNNNNNNNNNNNNNNNNNNNNNNNNNNNNNNNNNNNNNNNNNNNNNNNNNNNNNNNNNNNNNNNNNNNNNNNNNNNNNNNNNNNNNNNNNNNNNNNNNNNNNNNNNNNNNNNNNNNNNNNNNNNNNNNNNNNNNNNNNNNNNNNNNNNNNNNNNNNNNNNNNNNNNNNNNNNNNNNNNNNNNNNNNNNNNNNNNNNNNNNNNNNAUAUAUUUGUGCCAAUUUUCACACCUUUAGCAUUCAAACCUUGCUCUAGAACAACUGCUGUGGUCCGAUGCUGCAGGCAAAAAAUUUGACCUACGAAGCAGCCUCACUCACCAACCCAGCCCCAAAUAAAUUUUUUGAAAUGCCUUGAAAACCUUAACAUUAUAUCCAAAUAAACAUAACUUGUGUUUGUGACGUAAUGAGAUUGCAGUGCAUUCGUAGAGUGUACACUUAUCUGCCAUUUCGUCGGAACAAAUUUUUUUACUUCUCUUAAAAUUUGCAUAAUAAAUUGCAAUAUGGACAAGUACCUACUUGGAUAUGAUUAUAUUUUUGUUCUAGUUUAUAACCUGUUUUCAAUUUUUUAGAUAUCUAUGAUUUUCAUUAAAUCACUACUCUAGUUGGCAUUUCGCACCACCCGCAAUUGAUUAGUUGCUCUCUAAUCCAACAAAAUUAAUAUGGAAAGAAAUGAAUGGCCAGCGAUAAAUAUUCCAACAUUAUGCAUUAAGCCAUUCCACUCCUACAAAACUGAAUCUCUUUGACAGAAUGCUUUUUCACGUGAUCAUGUAUGUGUCAAAGUUUUGUGACAGAUAUAUUAUUUUGCAGAUGUGGCAAACACAAUCGUUUCAAAAUCUUAGAGGCCUUGAAAUUUUGAUUAUUACAAAAUCUAAGAGGAUAGUUACAAAAUUCUGUCACAAAUAGUAAAAGUUAAGUGAUUCUUGACAUAAUACUAUCAAAAGGUUUAAAUAAAAUCUCACAUUUUAAUAUUUUACAAAAAUGUGUUUUAAAUUUUUUUUUUGACAUAAUUCUAUCCAUGAAUUUUCUUUUAAAAUUUUUAAUUCCACGUAGGCAUUGAAAAAUGACAGCUUUAAAAGAUUCCAAUGAUUUAACUGAUGUGAAUAUAUCUUCAAUAAGUCAACAACAAAAUUCUAUGAAACAAAAUUUACUAUUUUAAUUAUUUUAUAUUGCCACAUCAAUAAACUAAAACGAUGACAUUUCAUAUGCUCAAAAAAGAAAAACUUAUGUAGGCCGAGAUCGCCAUCUCAUCAUUAUUAAAGAGGCGUGUUCAACCAAUAAGAAUUUGCCAUCUAAAAAGUUCAAUCAGUCUUUUGAAAAGCCUGGCUCGAGUCUGAGCCUGAGUGUUUCAGGUCGGACUCAGCCUAAGCUUGGGCAUAAAACAGUAAAACACAAUAAAUGCUCAAAAAAUAAAAGAAUAAAUAUUUUAUUUUUAAUUAAAAUACACUUUUUAAUAUAUGUUUAACGUAUCCGGAACAUAUAUUUAAAGUUUUAAUUCUUUAACAGAACUUUUAAUACCUAAUCUAAUAAGAAAGUUUAUAAAUUAUAAAUUUAUAGAAUACAAUGAAAAAGGUUUAAAAAAAUUAAAGUAUAAAUAUGAGGUUUUACAAUUAAAAUAUCAAAUGGUGGCAAAAUGAGCAGCCAAAAAGUGCGCCAAAUCAAAAUUAUCCAAAAUUCCUCUCUUCGAUUCCCUUUUUAUUUUAUGUACCGCUGAUAUAAAAUUAACACAAAAACAUUCUGAAAUCGAAAGCUUGGAACGAAUCUCACGCCUCUCGCCUUCUCUUUCUCGCAUUUCUCAUUCCUCUUUGCCUCUCUCUCUCUCUCUCUCUCACACACACACAUAAAUGUUAACCUCACCAGUCCUCACAAAUAAGCCGUUUGCUUUUAUCACUUGCUGGGCAAUCAUCUCCAAAAAUGAAACAACUGAAAUUCAAAUGGGAUAUUUAUUUUUCUCUCCAGAUUCUUUUCUCUGAAGUAAUGUUAAAACAAUAUAUAUAUAUAUAGAGAGAGAAAUGUUCAAGUCAGGAAUUUUAAAGUGCAGGAAAGUACGGGAAACCUUUAAAACCGCAUGGUUUUAAAGGCUUAAAACUGUAAGCCUUUAAAGCCGUGUGAUUUUAAAGUUUUUCUGGACUUUCCCGUACUUUAAAUUCCCUGACCAGAAAACUACUAUAUAUAUAUAUAUAUAUAUAUUUGUAUAAUUUCAGCAAAGGUCCAGAUCGCUCAAGGCCUAAUUUCAUCUCAAGGUUUGUCAUUUUCCUCUUGAUUGCCUUUCGUCAUUGGUUUCUCAUGUGACAUUACUUUACUUUGUUCUUUGCUUAUUGUAAAUUUAUUCACGGUUUCUACAUUAUAAGUUACGGUCUUUGUUUACUUUUAUUAAAAAUUAUGGUAUAUGAAUAAUAAUAAUAAUAAUAAUAAUAUUGGCUUGUUUGCGUAAUUGUCUUCGAUAUUGACUGUAUUUACAAGAUUCUCUGUGACAUAUUUCUUAUUGUGAUUGUUUAAUUAGUCUCGAUUGCAAUUUUUACAAGAUUUGAUGAAUGUUAAAAUUUAAGUACCAAUUUAAAUUUGUACACCAAGUGUUUGUUAUAAUGCCAUGUGUUAUCUUCAAUAGAUUUUUUUUUUCUUUAACACGUAGUAUAAGCCUGAUAAUAUUUUUCAAUUUCUUUCCAAGAUGCAGUUUUUGAUAAAGAAUAAAACAAAUGAUUGAGACUGUUUCGAUGCUAAUUUUUCAAAUUAGCGCAUAUUAUGCUACUUCAUCUCAAGCAACCUAUGAUGAUAGCUAAUAUUGAUGCAAUAUUCUGUCAUGCCUGCGGAUUCAACUUGCUAAGAUUUUGGUUAUGCCUUCAGGUUCAAGCAUUGUUGCUGAUUAUGUGAGCUGUUGAGAUUUUAGUAUUGAGCAUGGCUGCUUUAGAUUCAAUUUGAGCAAAUGUAAUUGUUUCCUUUUAAAAAAAAAUUACAUUUUCAGAAACUGUUAUAAAGAUUGUCAGCAGUAUUAUUUCGUAUUAAUGUCAACUUCUCAUUUACAUAUCUUAACUAAAGCUUUAAUUUCUUUUAAUUUCUCCAUCCUUCAGGGGAGGAUUUGAUGAUUUGCUAUUGUGUGAGAAGAAAGCCAAGAAGCAGAUGUAGAGGGUUGUUAUUGUUUGGGAAUUAUUUUUCAGUGGGGACAAUUUCAUAAAAGUAAUUUAAUAAUGGAUCAAUUUUAUAAAUUUUCUUUUGUAGUCAGGGCGAACUAAUAUGUUACAAUUCAAAAUAUUAGCGAAACGAUUUUCUUCUCUCUCUCAAAUCAUGCUCACCACUCUCAAUCGAAAAAACAUAGUCCUCUGCUCUGACUUCUCAGUUCUCACCCUUAAUAACACAGUUCUUUUUUUGUACUCCAUCGAAAAUUCAUAAAAUAAUGAUAAUGAGACUAUUAUUGAAUAUUUUUAAAAUAUGAAAAAGCAUUGAGAACAAGUGUAAGAAUAUUUUUACUGAUAUCAAUGAGUAUUAAACUUUAAACAAUUAUUUUCACUAAUUCUUUUAUUAUAAUAUUGUCCCCAAUGAAUUAAUUUCCUGGAUCACCUCUAUUUGAAUUUUAUUUUUUUACUAUUUUUUUCUCAUUGUUAAAUUUUCACAUAUGUAUCUUUCAAGUACAAAAUCCCUUUUUUUCUCUUUUUUUUUUCUUAAUCUUGUUUAAUAAGAACUGAAGUUAAUCUUAAAUGUUAAUUGUUCGUUUUGACAAACAUAGUUCUAUGUGUAUGUGACUUUUAAUUUCUGUUAUUCCCUUUUUUCAGAUGUAACCUUGAACAUUAUUAUAACAUAGUGUGGUUUUUUCUUAUAUUAAAAGUUUGGAGGUGGUCAAAUGGGUAAAUUUUCCAAUAAUUUUCCAACGUGUCUAUGAAUCUUGUGUCGGCUCUUCAUAAUCUUUAUCAAAUUCUCAAUAAUUUUUAUCUUAUCUGAUAUAAUAUUAAAAGCUUGAACUCCUAUAGAACUCUCGAUGAAUUUCUUUCUAUUUCUUGGAGUUCACUUAUACGUGACAGAUGUAAAAUUUAAACCCUAAUAUCAAUGAAAAUACGUAUUAUCCCAAGUAAUUAAAUGGGACCGUUUUGCUAGGAAACAGACAAGAAACGACAGUGAAUACAUUUUACACCAAAUUUCUUAAAAAGAAAUUGAUAAAAUAGGAUGCCUGCGUUCCAAGAGUGCUUUCUUAAAAAUAGAUACACAAAAAUAUUUUAAAGUGUUUUUAUAAGGGGAAAAAAAACUUAUUAAUAUGAUGCAUGCAUUUCAAGAGUGUGCUUUCUUAUAAAUUGUUGUUAUGAAAAUAAUAAUAAUAAUAAUAAAUUAAGAUUUGAAUUUGAAUGACUAAUUAAUUAAUUAAACUAGUAGUAGGUAAACCCAUGUUAUUAAUUUUUUUUAAUUUUAUAUUAUAAGUUCUGAUUACAUUCCUCAAAUCUGUUGAAAGUUAUGCACUUAACACAUCUGAAGAAAAAUUGAGUUUGAUAUAUUGAUUGAUUGCACAAAUAUGGUCUAUAUAGAGUAGACGGACCCGUUGGGAGACAUUUUGAUAUUGAGGGUCUGAGGAUGGGUUUGUGUUUUUCCAAUUGAGUUUGAUUAUAUUGAUUUCACAAAUAUUCAUGUCUUGUUUUUGGUUGGUGCAUACUUUUAAUUAGGGAUGGCAAUGGAUUGGAUCUGAUCCAAGAUUCAUGUGAUCCAAAUCCAAUCGGAUCGGAUUUGAAUCGGUUUAAAAUGGAUUUGGAUCGGAUUUGGAUAUCCAUGUGCGGAUCUAAGACGGAUCUAGAGCAGAUCUAAAUCUAUCUUAAUAUCUAAAUCCAUAUCCAUAUCCACUCAUCUUUUAAUUUUAUUUUAUUUUAAAUGUUUCUUAACAAUUGUGAAAUUAUAAUGAUAAUAAAUUUUAUUCAUAACAUAUUAGUAGUAUUUACUAUCCAUUUAAACUCUCAAAACUUAAAUGUUAGUUUUGUAAAUUUAAAGGUCAGCCAGCCCCAAAGCAUGUACAUGCAAUAUUCAAAUUGCAAGUCAAGUAAUAUAACCUGGCAAUUUAUUUUAUUAUAUUGGCCAAAUAAUUUUUAAGAAAUAUAGUUAUUCAUAUAUUUAAUCAAAUAUGGUCAUAAUAAAAAUAAUAAAGGACUGAAUAUAAAUCAUAUUUAAUUUAUAUGUCAUUAUCUAAUGUUGUAGGAAUGAUGGUAGGUGUAUCGUGGAUAUUAGAAUGAUGAAGGAGACAAUAGAAUAUUAGAUUGGUCUUACUCCUGCAAUUACUUCGGAAUGAUAUUUUAUUAUCUUUCUUAUUUGUUGUUUUGGUGUAAAAGUAUAAGCUACAAUAUUUAUUAUAUUUUUGAGAAAAUUAUAUAAUUUAUUUGUUAUCAAUACAUUUUAGCCUUCAAUUUUCAAUCUAAAAAAUUAUUACUUUUUUAUUACUGAAUUUUAGAAUUCAUGACGGAUCUAGAGCAGAUUUGGAUUUUAAUUUUUUUUUUCGGAUUUGGAGCAGAUAUAGAUAUUUAUUUCUUUUUUGGAUCUGGAUAUGAAGCGAAAAAUAUGGAUUCAUGACGGAUCUGGAGCAGAUACGGAUCUUAAUUUUUAUUAUGGAUUUGGAUUUGGAGCAAAGUAGAUCCAAUCCAUAUCUAUACCAUUGCCAUCCCUACUUUUAAUGACUUUGUUUUGCGGUUCUUGUGUUGUAUGUACAUAUUGUUUCCUUUUCUGUCACUAUAUUCUUACAAGGACUUUUUUGAUAGAAUAAAAUUAUGUCAGUAACAUGGUCUGUGACAAAAAUUAUUCUGUAAAAAAAAAAAAACUCAAUUUUGUAGUGGUUCCAAAUAAUGGUUUAGUUUCUUUCCUCCUCGUUUUGUCAAUAAUUGAUUCUAUUCCUGGUUAAAACAAGUUCUUUACUUCUCUAAAAAUGUGCAUAAUUUCCCCACUUAUAGAAGUGUCAAGAUAUUUUUGACUUUCUUUUUUUUUAAGGACUAAUACUAAUUUAUUGUUUGGUUGUAAGUACUAGAAAUCAAACAGGAGAAAAUAAUUGAGUUUUUUUUGUUAACUUAAAAAUACGUAUUAUAAAUGUUACUUAUACAAAUGCAUAUUACUAUUCAAAAUAAUAAAAAUUUUGCAUUGGAAACAAUUUUGAAAAAAAAAUAAAAGUUUUUAAUGGAGAAAGGAAUUGUGGAGGGAAAGUUUGAUAGAAGAUGCACACUAGCUAGUUUUGGAAUUAUACCGUCAGGCGUCAAUCAUUUUAUAAAAAAAAAUGGAAAUAAUUUGAUCAGCCACCAGAGUUUUACUUCAGUGAUUUUCUCAAUACGACGUACGGUCCUCAAAACCUUAUCAUGAUGCUUGUAUAUUCUAAGCUUCAUGACAUCAUAUUAAAAACGUAUUGCUAAGGUAAUUUGAAAUUCGUUUUAUCCAAUGAAUGUUACAUUUACUGGUAUGUUUAAUAUUUUGUUUUGGUUAAAAAUUUUGCUAUCUAACAGCUAAUAACUGAAUUUGACUCAUUUUUAUGUAAAUUUUAUAGACCCACCGAUUCACCAUUUUUUUUAAUGUUAUGAUCAUUGUAGGCAUGUUAUAUUUUAAAUUAUGACUCCAUGCGAAAUCAAAAUUUAAAUUUCACCAUCUUUUAUAGGAUUAGAUUAUGAUAAUCAAAUAACACAAUAAACAAACACAAGGUAAAAAAAUUUACAUGGUUCGACAUAUUAAUUAAUAUGCCUACAUCCACGGAUGAUGAUAUUAAUUAAUGAAAAAGUGUAUAAAUAACAAUAAGCUCUCAUGUGCGCCAAAAAGAAAAAAAAAAGAAACACCAAAAUCAACACUCAAAAUCAAUCAAUCCCCAGCAGUUUGGCCUCACAAGAGCUCUCUCUGUGUUGUGCUUUCCCUCAUUCAUUCUCUUUACAAAUACAAGGCUCGCAAAAAAACAAACCGAAUUACUAAAAACAUACAUAACAGAUUAAAAAAGCACGCGCCGCGCCCGUCCCCCAAUUCCUGAUUUGCGACGCUGAAAAAUAUCGCUUUCCCCAAAAAAAAAAACAAAUGAAUCAGUUACACAAAUAUAUCUAAUUUUAAAUUAAUGAAGAAGAGUAGAGAGAGAGCAAACGAGAAGGAAAGCGUAUACAAAUUAUAAUUACUAACCAGAGUUAUUAGCACCAUUACAUAUAUAUAUCCCUGCUGAAUUCCCCCUCCUCUGUUCACCAUUCGUUUCUAAAAUGGAUUAAAAAAUAACUACUAAUUAAUUUUAAUUAAAAUAGAGUGAGACACGCAAUGCAUGCAGGAGAUCUAGAAAUAAAUUACCCGUCGCGGUGGCCGUGGGUGAUUGUAAUUGACUAAUUGCAGCCGCGCGCUUUCAGGCAAUGGAGAUUUUGGGAAUGUGGCGUAUCUUAGGCCAGUCGUCUCCUGUCUCCUCUCUGUAACGUUCUUGUAAAAUAGGACAUUCCCCAAAAAUCUCCAAAUUCUGGAGCGUUGACUUCUGAAGAAGGUGAUCGGGCAGUGCUUUUAAUUUAGGGCAUCUCAAAAUAGUCAACCUAGAAAGACGCGGCAUGAUUAUGAUUUCUCCCUUCAUUGCAGUCCCGAAAUCCCACUCUUCCAAUUCUUUUAUAAAACGAAAUUCCAGCUCUUUCAAUUUGGGAAAGGCAAUAACUGAGGAGCCAUCCGUAUCACUUUCUACCCCCAGAAAUUCGUUACCCACUCUUUUCACACCCAACAUUCCGCCAAUAAGAAGACCUUCAAGGGAUGGCAAUUUUCCCAAAGGAGGCAAAUGCUCGCAAUUUCUCCACCAGAAGAGAGAUAAAUCCUUUAAGUUGGUUAACGACAUGAACCAAUUUAUGGGGACAACAUUCCUCCUCCCUCUGUAUCCAUUUAUCCGUAAUUUCUUUAAAUUAGGAGGUGGUCCCAAGGCUUCAAGAAGCCGUUCAUCUUCAUCCUCCUCAUUCUCCCUCCUCCCAGCUAGUUCUUCAUCUCCAUCUCUUAAAUGAUCAAAAUAAAGUUCCAACUCAACGAGAUAUUUCUUUUUCUCAAGUUCAGCCCUUCUAGCCUCCCCCGCAUCUGACACACCACCCAGCCCACGUAUACUACAUUGUCGAAGGAGGUUAAGCUUUUUAAGAGACCCAAGGCUACAUGCUCUAUCAUACCCUCCCCCCACAACAAACUUUGUCACAUCCCGAAGACUGAUUAAUUCCCCAAUCCCUACCGGCAAGUAUCUUAAACAAUCAGUGUCUUCAUUGUGUAAAUACAUCAGCUUUCUUAACUUCCCAAUCCCUCGAGGUAAUUCUCUAAGAUUUUCACAUUCAUCAACAUUUAAACGUUCUAAAUUAUAUAACUCACACAACGUCUCGGGUAAUUUUUCUAUCUUCUUUUGACCUUUCAAAUUAAGGUAUUUCAAAUGUAACAAUUUUUCUAUAUUUGUUGGAAUUUCCUUGAUGUCAUUCACACUUGACUGCCUAUCACCCGCCUUUAAUUUUAAUGCCCUUAAACAAGUUAAUUUAUCAAAUAAUUGAGGCAGGACUUCACUAGACCAUGAAUAUUCAUCACUUUUAACUAAGAGGCUACGCAAUCCUCGCAAUCCUUUAACAUUACCCCAAAUGGAGAUCGGAACCGAAGCCCCCCUACGUAGAGUUAACAGUAAAUGAAGGAUUUUUUUCUCCCCAAAAGAGCUAAUAGCUAACUCUUCACCACUAUGAAUUUCUACUGUUAAACAUUUAUUACUACAUAAAUAUUGGGCAAAGUCGUGCACGAUAUCGUGCAUUUUGCAAUUAGAGAUUUCACCAUCAUCACCUUUGUCAAAAUCCUGAAAGAAUGAACGGUUAGCUAAGAUGUUGAAAUACUCAUCACCAAUAUCCUCCAUCUCGUUGCCUCCUUUCUCACUAAGAUAACCUUGUGCCAUCCAUAGUUCAAUUAACUUAUGCUUCCGUAUUUCAUAGUCUUUCGGAAAGACGGCACAAUAUGAGAAACAACACUUUACCUUGGAGGGUAAUUCUUUGUAACUCAACAAUAGAGGGGCUAAAAGGCCUUUCUCAAUUGCUUCUAGUUCCCAUAUCUCACUCUCUAAGAUAUUUUGCCAUUCUUUUUCAGUGUUUUUAGACCGCAAGAGACUAGCAAUUGUCUUUGCAGCUAAAGGUAAGCCCUUGCACUUUUUUACAAUUUCUCUACCAAUUUUUUCUAAAUUUUCACGUUUUCCUAUGGUCUUACCAGAAAUUGCCAACGACUGAAACACCGACCAGCAUUCCAUUUCAGACAAUACAUUGACAGAGAUAACAUGAGUUGAUCCCAUAAUACGGGCAACUGUUUCUUUACGUGUGGUAAUUAAAAUUUUACUUCCAUGGAGACUAUUCUUUAAACAUUUGUAGAAUGGUUCCCACUUAUAGUAAUCUUCAUUCCACACGUCGUCUAAGACAAGCUGCUGUACGGCCAAGGCGGAUGUACGGUACAGCAGCCAAUAUCCUCCAUCUCUUUGGCUCCUUUCUCACUAAGAUAACCUUGUGCCAUCCAUAGUUCAAUUAACUUAUGCUUCUGUAUUUCAUAGUCUUUCGGAAAGACGGCACAAUAUGAGAAACAACGCUUUACCUUGGAGGGUAAUUCUUUGUAACUCAACAAUAGAGGGGCUAAAAGGCCUUUCUCAAUUGCUUCUAGUUCCCAUAUCUCACUCUCUAAGAUAUUUUGCCAUUCUUUUUCAGUGUUUUUAGACCGCAAGAGACUAGCAAUUGUCUUUGCAGCUAAAGGUAAGCCCUUGCACUUUUUUACAAUUUCUCUACCAAUUUUUUCUAAAUUUUCACGUUUUCCUAUGGUCUUACCAGAAAUUGCCAACGACUGAAACACCGACCAGCAUUCCAUUUCAGACAAUACAUUGACAGAGAUAACAUGAGUUGAUCCCAUAAUACGGGCAACUGUUUCUUUACGUGUGGUAAUUAAAAUUUUACUUCCAUGGAGACUAUUCUUUAAACAUUUGUAGAAUGGUUCCCACUUAUAGUAAUCUUCAUUCCACACGUCGUCUAAGACAAGAAGAAAUUUCUUCCCGGCAACACAUUCUUGAAUAUGUUGCAUGAGAGAUUGAAACUCUACAAGGUCUUUGGCAGAACCUGGCUUUAGAGACUCAAUGAUUGCUCUGGCGAUCCUGAACUCAUCAAAUGGCUCUGACACACAGACCCAUGUUCUUUUGUCAAAAUUUCUUUCAACAUCACCGUUGUUGUAGGCAAAUUGAGCAAGAGUUGUUUUGCCUAUGCCCCCCAUCCCAACAAGUGAGAUGAUAGAGGGGCCUUUCUGUUCUUUACUACUCUCACAUAACAACCUAUUAACGAGUUCGUUCUUCUCUUUUUCUCUACCAAAUAUCUCGGACUCAUCAAUUGAGGAGAUGCUUGGCACUCGUUGAUCCGCUCUCUCAUUAGUAACAUUCACAACAAAACCAAAUAUGUCUUUCUGUUUGGCAAUAUCAUCAAGAGUUUCGUUGAUUUCUUUUAUCUUCAGAGCAAUGUCACGACGUAAGACAAGUGGUUUGCAGGCAAAGCAAGAUGCAGUAGGAAAGAAGGAACAUACCUUCUUGUUAGGAACGAGAGCAUCAUUCUCGUGAUCAUCCACUCCGUCGAUUUGCAGUUUGAGCCUUGCAGUGUUCCACUCACCCAACACGUCUUCCAUGUCGUAACAUGUGCAUCUGAGUUGAUCGAGCCAGAGUCUGACAGUUUCCUCCUUCACUUGCCUUUUCUCAGCAUCAUGGAGCACAGCUCGAAUGGCUCGGAGAUUGCUGGUCAGCUUCUUCGCUUCCUUUCCGACACCCGUUACUAGCCUCACUUGUUCCUUCGCCUCUUCAACAGCCAUUGAAGUCAGCUGCUCCAAGAUAGGGGAAAGGAUCGCAUCAACCAUGGUGAAAAAGAAAAAAGAGAGAGAGAAGAAAUUGAUGGUGAAUUGUUGCAAAAGUAAGUAGCUAAUGCU
This 21510-nucleotide long non-coding RNA is filed under the name Citrus sinensis (sweet orange). RNAcentral describes it as "long non-coding RNA (CSIN_LNC001362)". Lineage: Eukaryota; Viridiplantae; Streptophyta; Magnoliopsida; Sapindales; Rutaceae. The record is from RNAcentral.